RNAcentral lists this ribosomal RNA (495 nucleotides) under uncultured bacterium. RNAcentral's name for it is "partial 16S ribosomal RNA". It matches the Rfam family "Bacterial small subunit ribosomal RNA", at positions 28 to 505 of the family's 1533-position model. The record is from RNAcentral.
GAUGAACGCUGGCGGCGUGCCUAAUACAUGCAAGUCGAGCGAACAGACGAGGAGCUUGCUCCUCUGACGUUAGCGGCGGACGGGUGAGUAACACGUGGAUAACCUACCUAUAAGACUGGGAUAACUUCGGGAAACCGGAGCUAAUACCGGAUAACAUGUUGAACCGCAUGGUUCAACAGUGAAAGACGGUCUUGCUGUCACUUAUAGAUGGAUCCGCGCCGCAUUAGCUAGUUGGUAAGGUAACGGCUUACCAAGGCAACGAUGCGUAGCCGACCUGAGAGGGUGAUCGGCCACACUGGAACUGAGACACGGUCCAGACUCCUACGGGAGGCAGCAGUAGGGAAUCUUCCGCAAUGGGCGAAAGCCUGACGGAGCAACGCCGCGUGAGUGAAGAAGGUCUUCGGAUCGUAAAACUCUGUUAUUAGGGAAGAACAAAUGUGUAAGUAACUAUGCACGUCUUGACGGUACCUAAUCAGAAAGCCACGGCUAACUACG